This 403-nucleotide ribosomal RNA is filed under the name uncultured bacterium. RNAcentral's name for it is "partial 16S ribosomal RNA". It matches the Rfam family "Bacterial small subunit ribosomal RNA", at positions 30 to 526 of the family's 1533-position model. The record is from RNAcentral.
AUUGAACGCUGGCGGCAGGCCUAACACAUGCAAGUCGAGCGAGCGGCGGACGGGUGAGUAAUGUAUGGGGACUGCCCGAUAGAGGGGGAUAACUACUGGAAACGGUAGCUAAUACCGCAUACUAUCGGAUAACCCAUAUGGGAUUAGAUAGUAGGUGAGGUAAUGGCUCACAUAGGCGACGAUCCCUAGCUGGUCUGAGAGGAUGAUCCGGAACACUGGGACGGAGAGACGGCCCAGCCUCCUACGGGGGCAGCAGUGGGGAAUAUUGCACAAUGGGCGCAAGCGUGAUACAGCCAUGCCGCGUGUAUGAAGAAGGCUCUAGGGUUGUAAAGUACUUUCAGUCGGGAGGCGUUACCGACAGAAGAAGCACCGGCUAACGCCGUGCCAGCAGCCGCGGUAAUUC